GAGCCACCCAGGUGCCCCUAGAUAUGUUUUUAAAAGAAUGAAUUCAAGCCAAUAUACAGAAAUAUAUACUGCCGUUAAGAUAUUUUACAUUUACGUUGUCAUUAAUCUUUUCAAACUAAAAGGCUCUUAAAUAUAGCAAAAAUUAAUGCCAAUCAACCACAUAGUAAAUCUGCAUUCUGGAAGAUACGUGCAAAUCUUGAACUUUUUACAUUUCUUAAGAGGAAAUCAUUUUGUAUUUUCAGACAAUGAAAUCAUACUUAAAGAGAGUUUUUUAGCCCAAAAUAAUGAAUUUCACCACAAAAUUGGACAUAUUACCUCAUUUAAUGAAGGAGCUUACUUCUUGACAGACAUCAGCUCCUGUAUCUUCAUCUGUUAUAAUUUAGAGAGAGGAGUUUCUUUGGAGGUGAAUUUAUUAGACCCUUUGGAAAGGGGAGUGUGACCCCUGGGGGCCGGGAAGUGCCAGGACACCUUUCGGUGGACAGGUAACAUGAGAGCCACAGGCCAGGAAUAUGAGGGUUUGGAGCCAGCAUAUGGGGAGAAGAAAACCCCCUCCUACCUCAGCUGGUGGUAACCAGCAGGUGAGCUAACUUAAGGGAAAAUGAAAAUAGGGUCGUAACAAGGUGAGAAACUACAGAUAUUAGGCGUCUGUCGUUACUGGGAGAGAAAAUAAAACAGGAGCAUCCUACGUGCCUGAAGAUGAACAUAGCUAUUUCAUCUGUACUUUUCAGAGUAGAUCUCAGAGAAACAACUCUGCCGGGAUUGGAAGUAGUUUCUCACGGGCACCUGGGUGGCACUGGGCAUAGUUACAAUGUGGAAUAGGUCUCCAGAAAACAGCCAUGUUCCUCAUCAUCAGGACACAUACAGCUGCACCGACUCCUGGGGAAUAGAGGGAGUUUAUCUUGUUCCAUAUUCAUAUGAUACUGACCUUGCUAUUUACUUGGAUACAAAGAAUAUAAAAUGUCAAGACAGUCAGAAGCAUGCACUGGCAGAGAUGGGGCAAAGGAUGCUCUCCUGAUCUAGCUCUGUGGCCACAUUUUAAGAAGGAACCAGAAGAGGGUACCUCACAUCAUGCCUCUCAUUUCCCCACACUUCACCCAACUUUUUCUAGUUAAACUCAAGUUUUUACAGAAAGUUUAUUAUUGGCAAAAUUCCGGGCCAGACCUCGAAUGGUGAAUGCAAUAGGAAAAUGCAAAUUAGAACAGAAAAGGGAAUUUUAAUUAUGCCAAUAAUUACAACUGUUUUUCUUUUACCCUCUGCUCUCAGCAACUCUCAACCCUCUUCUCUCACAAUACUGUACAACUUCCAAGGAUUUAUGGUAUUUAUACCCCCCGAAAUAUUUUGGUGCGGAGAGGGAGUUUAGAAAAUAAUACCUCAUGUUGUUUUGUUAAUCCGGCCUUUUAAUGAUACUUCAAUAUUUCCUUUUAUAAGCUCUUAUGAUAUACAGAAUUUUAAGUUGUUCCUCAAUAUUUCCACCACCCGUUGUACAUAUCAUGUAUAAUAAUUCUCUCCCCUUGAGUGUGGGCAGAACUUAUGAACAAGAGAGUCACUCCCAUGAUUAUGUUACAUUAUACUAAGACUCAGUUAUAGCAGGCUAGAGAGAGUCUCCUACUACUUUGAAGAUGUAAGUUGCCAUGUUUUGAAAAGGUCACAUGGCUAAGACCUGAGGGAAACUUAGAAAUUGAGAGCAAUCAUUGGCCAAUAACCAGCAAGAAAACAGAAACCUCCAUCCUACAACCAUAAGGAAUUGAGUUCUGCCAACACACCAUCUGACCUCAGAAUAGACCCUGAGCUCUGGAUGAGAACAUAGCCCAACAGAUACCUUGACUUCUCAGAUGGGUGGGACCAUGACCAGAAGACCUUCAUCAAUGUAGAGACAAACUUUCUGACCUACAGAAAAUGUGAGAUAAUACAUGUGUGUUACCUUAAGACACUAAAUUUGUAGUUAUCUAUUAUCCAGCAAUAGAAUACUCAAACUACUCCCUCCCUGACCCCUGCCAAGUCUUGCUCUCAAGAUAGUAUCACAUAGCACUUACCAUAGUGUGUAUAUAGUUUAUUAUCAGUAUUUUCAAACUACAGAAUUGCUAGAGGUUUGUCACAGUCUUUGAAUAUUUCAUCCUGUGUUAUGUUUUGCCCACUUGUGCUAGAGGCCUAUAACCUGAAUCAAUAUAUUUUCAGCUUUGCCCUGUUUCUACUUCAUGUACCCAUGAAAAGAAAAUGAAUAACAAGAAUGACAUUUAUGUCACCCAGGACAAUGGAAAGAAGGGAUGUUCCUGGUGAGAGAGGGUGGACACCUUCCCUGCCCCAUUUCCUGUGCCCUAUCAUCCUCCACUCCACAUACUCAUCCUUUUCUUACCUCACAGCUGUUUGUGACUGCAUGGUUGGCUGGGAAUACUACUCAUGUUGGCCCUAGAAGUACUCCCUCUAUUUCCAUCUCCAUGUCCUCUCUUCAGGGCUUAUCAACUUCAGUUGCUUCAGAAAACAAAGUGAGGUAAGCUGUUGGUUAAAUUUCCAGAAGCAGGAAAUGUCUAAGAUUACUGCCAUUUGCAACAAUGGUUGAUGUCAUAAAUCAUCAUGGAAGACAAAAAGUUAAAAUGAAGAAAAAAUAUAAAUUAUUUAGAGUAAGCGAGGCAACUCUAUCAUCUAUUUAUCUAUCUAUCUAUCAAUCCAUCUUAAUUUAUGACAUAUUCCCUCAGAAUACCACAGAAUGUGACCUAAUUAGAAGAUAGGGUCAUUAUAGAGGUGCUCAAGUUAAAAUGAGAUAAUCAGGAUAGGCUCCAAACCAAGAUGAUUGGUGUCCUAGAACAGGGGAGAUUUGGACAGAGAGACAGCCAUAGAUUGAGAGAAGACAAUAUGAGGAGACACAGAGACAAAAAAAACCAUUUACAAACCGGGGACAGAAGCCUAGACAGAUCCUUCCCUCACAGUUCUCAGAAGGAACCAAUUCUGCAGACAACUGGAUAUUGGACUUGUAGCUUCUAGGGCUAUGAGACAAUAAAUUUCUGUUGUUCAACUGCCUCAGUCUGUGGCAUUUUGUGAAGGUAGUCGUAGAAAACUAAUACAGCCCCAAGUUUUGCUCUGCAUGUUCCUUGUCUGGUAAGUCAUUGUAUUCAUUCUGCUGUUUGGUCACCAUUUCUUUCUUGAGUAGAUCCCAACUUCAGCCUUCUCUGUACAAGAAAUGUUGUUCCUUCUUCCUUUAUGUUACUAUUUUUUUUAAAUCUAAUUUACUCUCUGUUAUCCGUAACUGUCCCAUGGACCCUGUAGGAACAAGCCCUGAAGAACAUAUUGAUAACUAUUUGAUGAAACUAGGUAACGGUGUAAAAAUUUGGAUGUACUAGGCAAAAUAGGGGAUCAGUGACAAAAUCUGUCUGGAUUGAUUAGAGAGUUCAUGCCACAAAGAGAUGUUACAAAAAUCAAUGUAGGCAUACCUUGAGGGAACUUUGGAGAAGUCUGAAUUUUAUCCUCCAAACAUGAGAAAUCACUGAGGAGAUUUGGCUCUUGUCUUUCAUUUGCCAGGAGUGUUACAAUGGAUCUGGCCUUUCAAGAAGAUGCAUCUGGCUAUACAUCAUUUUAGAAAAUAGAUUAGAAAAAGACCAUAGUCAUGGAGAUCAGAUGGGAGGUUAUGAAACAGUCAUGGGCUAAGGUAUUAAAAACCUAGACAAUAAUCAUACAGUAGAAAUGGGAAGAAAAGAAUUUAUGUGAAAAAUCUUAUGAAGAAAGAAUCAACAAGUCUUACAGGAUUGUAAGAUGACCUUGAGUUCUCCUGCUGGGAAAAGCAAAACUGAUUCACCUGAUACUGAUAAGAAAAAAACAACAACAACAAAUAGCAAGUAGCCUUCAGUAGGUAUUAAUAGUGAUUAGAAAAAUAUUAAGAGUUACUAAUAACAUAUUUUUGUUUCCUAGGUAUCUUCUAGAAACCUCUUCUCAGAUAUGACAUUUAAAGAGUUGAGUUGCUGUUACUUGUUUGAUAAAAUCAUAUGCAAAGAAUUUAACUUCUUUUUGGGGUAGAGAUACUCACUGUUUCCUUCCCAAGUGAAGGACAAUGCCAUUUUUUAUAUAUCAGGAGAACUAGAUUAUACUUACUUUAUGUUGCUGGAAUAAAUACCAAUAUGCACACACACACACAUCCAUACACAUGUAUACAAGCCUUCCUAAAACUGUAUUAUAAAUGACUGUCUUCUUCAAUACUCUUCAGAGGUACCAUGAGAUUUAAUAAAUGUUAAAUUGUAACCUAAAUACUAGUCAUGAAUCUAUUCACCUCCAUUAUUUCUAAAGAACCAAAUUUAAUAUUAGCUAGACCACCUUAAUGUAGAAUCGUGUGACCAACAGGUCAGUUUUACAAUUACUCAGGCUUCUCUGACUCCCUCAUAUUUAAAUCAAUAAACUUAACGUUAUUAAGGACUCUGCAAAUCCUUAUUUGCUUUUCAUCACUUUCUUCCCUUGGAUUCAUUUAGUGCAAAUAAAAUGUGGAAGAUGACAACUAAAGAUAGCAAAAAAAAAAUGCUACAUAAAUAUCAGGAGCACUUGAGAAUUUGGGGGAAAAAAAGAAGCAAUCUUUAUACUUCGCAGACAUUUACUCUUGGAAAUAUAAACAUGAUUCUGGACACAUUGAAAGGUGUCACUAUUUGAAGUGUGACAAAGCAAUGUAAACCCCAGAAGCCGUAAAAUCACAAUCUGCUAUUAUAUGACAUACCUAAAUCUCCAAUCAUUUGGACGUUACCUCCCUGAGCACAAAGUUCCAAGGUUUUUGCAAACUUUUUCAUUCAGCUCCAUACCUCAACCUCGGCCCAACCAGGGACUUACUGCAGUAUAGAAAUGAAAAGUGGGAAAAAUAUGAAAAGAAACAACCUUUGAAAAAUGCUGAUGAAAUGUAACUUUUCCCCAUAAUAAUUUUCUGGCAUUUAUGACAAAGAUUCUCGAUUACUUACAACUUCCAGUGAAUUUCAGUCUUGGCUUAGAUACAACCUCAAGAACUGACAGAGGAGGGAUGUUAAUAUAUCUCUGAGCAGUGAGGGAGUUGUUUUUCAACUGAGGCUGAAGCAAGCAGUGUUUGGAACACCUCAUACUUCAAUGAAAUCCAAUUUUCUCUUACAGGUUUCACUUGGUAGCAAGAAGUCACUCUUACUGCGUGCUUAGAUUCCAACAGCAUCUAUAAAAAAAGAAGCGAAAUAUAAUGACGUUUAGGAGUUUUUUGUUAACUUGCAAAUGUACUUUCAUCUUGUCUGCUUCCAGUGAAUUCUAAUCACUGAGGCAAGACCUCAGACUUCUAACGAUUUGUAGAAAAUUACGUUACCAGUAGUUUCACAUAUCCCCAUGUCAGAACCCUCUGGGUUUGGUGGAAGCAAAACUGUCAGGGAUUUGCUGGCCGACUGGCAUAAUUUUACAGCAAAUGAUAACUGGUAGGGAAGGGAGAUUUCAACAGGGUCCUAUGCCAUGCCAUAGGGGGAUAUGUCAUGUGAGAUUGGAAACUUUCUUGUAGGGAGACAUGAAAAGGUUCACAAAGAUUCAUGGAUACAACUAAUAUUUAAUACAUACUUACUGUUUGUCGGGCCUUCAAAUCAUGAAGUCACCCCAGGCUACCUGGAGAAAUGGAAGCUGGAAAACCUGAUUUAACCUUGGGAAGAAAAUCCAACAGGAAACAGGUUGUUUAUAGUCAUUGAGGUACCUCAGCAGCUCGUUCUGAAACCAGCUACCAUCAUCUAGAACCAUUUUCAGGGUUUUCCAAAUCUGAGAGAUAGCUUACAAUGUCUUCUUCAAUUCCUUGUACAUAUGUGGGAGUUAUCAUUGUUGCUAUCAUUUUUGUAAUUAAUAGAAUAUCAACCACAUUUUAAAUAUGGAAAGAGCUUGGGAGAACUCGAAUGUCCCUAGUAAAAGAAGAGUCUCUAUUCAGAAAGAAUAGCUUUGGACUUUAGUGCACCAUGUUUUAAAUUUUUUUAAAAUCUUUAUUUAUUUUUGAGAGAGAGACAGAGUAGAGUGUGAGCAGGGGAGAAGCAGAGAGAGAAGGAGACAUAGAAUCUGAAGUAGGCUCCAGGCUCUGAGCUGUCAGCACAGAGCCCAAUGUGGGGCUCAAACUCCUGAGUUCUGAGAUCAUGACCUGAGUCGAAGCUGGACGCUCAACCGACUGAGCCACCCAGGCACCCCAGGGCACCAUGUUUAAACUCCAGGUUCAGGAAUGAUGUGAAGGUAGGCCUUAUAAGGAAAUGGAUGGCUUUCCAAAGACUCUAUGGUUAAUUACCCAUGAAUAUGUGAUGCAUUCCUCAAGGUUCUAUGCAGAUUUCAUAGAUGCGAGGUAAUAAAAUCUGUAUUUAUUUAAGCCCAAAGCGAGGUCUCAACUAUUCUGUGUAUUGUAUCCAGAGUCACCCCCAACUGAGGGGUGUUGUAUCCAUGAAUCAGUUCCUUUGUUUAGCAUUUCAUCCACAUCAGAUACAAUUUAACCACUUUAUAUAACCUUAGUAAACUUCCACAAUAACCCCAUGAGUUAAAUAUCAUUAAUAUCCCUGCUUUGAAGACAUGAAAAUGAAGGCCAUGGUCAGACAGCUAGUUUGUGGUAAAGCUCGAUUUUGAACUCAGCAAUGAUCUGUAACCGCUGAUUUUCCUGGACCUGAUGUUGAACACCUUGCUUACUCUACUCGUAGUAGUUUGUCAUCCACACCAAAAAAAGGAAAUUAUAUAGACAGUGAAGGAAGAUUACUGGUAACAUAUUAUCCUGGAAAAUAAAGGCCACUGGGUCAGACUUAGGUCUGAAGAAGCCUUUCCAAGAAUUCGUGAAUAACGGCUUACCACCAGUUCAAUAAAAAAUUGAUGAAACUAUCCCAUCUUUUGCUAGCAGUCAUCUUGAUCCACAGCACAUAAGGAAAUUCCUGUCUCUUCACCCUGACUGUUGGGCAUCAACAACAGAAAUGAAUAUUGAUGGGGGGGAGGUAUAGUUUAGCCUAUAUAACACUAUUCAGAGCAACAAUUAUUAUUUAAUUUCACAAGAAGAUUUAGGUAAUCCUUGAGAGAAUAGAGCAUUUCAGAUUCUGUUUUGUUGUUGUUGGUAUCUUUUUUGUUUUGAUUUUGGUCAAGGGAAGUCAUGUUGAUAAUAGCAGAUAAAAGUAGAAAAAGUCUGAAAUUGAACCAACAGUAGGAUGUGCGGCUCUGUGUGAGAUACGUUGUUUUUGCUGUUGUUUUUUUCCUUUUUGGCAUAUCAGCAUUUUUGUCAGCAGAAACUAAACAGAUUUUUCCUCAACCAAAAAUCCAUUCCUAUUUCUUCUCAUUUCUUUCUCUCCCUGGCACCACGAAAUUGCUGGAGGGGAUGACUGGGCCACUGGAUCUAAAUAUACUCAGCUCUAAUCAUAUUGCAUCAGAAACUGCUACAAAAAUUGAGCUGUAACACAUUAGAAACAUCCAGAGAUUUGGCUCUCAAAGAAACCAUGUUUUCUGUCUUCUGAAUCCCCAAAUGCCUUCAGGGGAACAAAAGAAAACCUACCAAUACAAAGAUCUAAAGGACCUCGUAGACAUGAUAAUGAGGAUACUUUUUUUUUCCCUUCCUGCGGGAAGAAAAAUCCUUGUGGGUUUUCUGCCUACAGAAGAGAAUGGUGUGGCAUUCAGCCUGUUCACUCUUUUUCCUUGACUUCUUCAGGAACUUUGUAUCCCUACUAAAGUACUGUUACAUAAAUGGAGGUCAACUGGCCAGCCUAUAAUUGUUGCAGGAGUUUGUAAGUUUGUUUUACUCAUCAGUAUGUGCACUCAGUUGAGAAUUAGCAGAAGCAGCUAGCUUUAUUAGCAUUGAAGCUGAGCUUCCGUAGUCUAAGGAACUUGGCAAACCCAAGCUCACAAAACACCGGGUCCUCACCCCCACCUCUAACACACACACACAGACACACACACAAUUUUUUGAAACAGUAUCCCACUCUGGACACCAACAAGACCAAGAAGCUCAUUGAAGAGAGCACCUCAGAGAUGAGAAGUGGUAAGAAGGUAUAACUGAUCUACAGUUUCUGAAGGAAUGGAUGACUCUUAAGAGAUGUGCUGUGCUCUAAGCUAGUGAGUGGUUCCAUGUUCUUUGUGCCAUGACUCAUAUUCCAAACCCUAUGUCCUUCCUGCUUUGCCACAGCAAAGCCACCUAUAGCACUGUUUACCUCUGCUAGAAAGUCACUAUGUCUUCAAACUCUGCUAUAGGAGCCUUCUUCUUGCUAAAAAUGGCAGCCACAUCAUGUCACCAAAACUGCCUCUGAUAAUUUGCUCUUCCUUUUCAUGAAUGCCCAGAAAACUAGAGUCAAUGCAAGAUACUUGGAAUGAGAAAAGGGAUAAAUUAAGGUUGUUAAGACUUUGAUGAGAGCUGAGUAGCUUUUCAGCUUUAGUAUGAUCUGACAGAUGGCUUGGAAACCCUGAUGAGAGCUUCAGAUGCAGGGAUUUCAUCAUCAAGGAUGCAGUUCUGGAAAACAUUGCCCUGCUCCCUCACUUACAUAGAUCUCUUAGACUUUAAUUGUAAGCUAUCAACUUUGAUUUCUUUGAUAGUUUUGCAAUCUUGUUUGUUAUAACCAAAUAUUUGCAUUUUGAAUACAGAUAGAUGAUAGAUAGAUAGGUAGAUAGAUAGAUAAACACAGAGGUUCUUAACUCAUUCUUAAUGGCAUUUCCAGGUUUUUAUAAUGCAAAUUUCUCUUUUGGUGCAGCAUGCUAGUCAGGAAUGUCAGUGUUUCAAAAUGAUUCCAAUGUACGUGUGUAUGUGAAGUUCAUCUUAUUCUAUUCUCUUUGGACUUGGUGCAGACAUUCUUUUCCCCAAGGUUGUCUUACAUUCAGCUAAAGAUGAGGAAAUUUUAAAGCUAAGCCCAUUUGUAAAUUGGGAAUUGCCUGCCAAUAAAAGCCAUGUGCAAUCUCAAAUCCUGAUUUUAAUCAGAAGUUUCCAAUUUUUCACUAAGUAAACCUUUAUGCCAGAAUGCUCACGAGAGAAUCCUGAAGUAUCAUUAGCAUAAUGGUGCAGCCUUAGGGAUUAUGAGCAGAACAGAUCUGGGCUGAAGUCCAACUCUGCCACUAACUAGCUGUGUGACCUUGGGCCAGUUUCAUUUGUAUUAACCUCAGGUAGUAGCUCUCUCAUUUGGCUUUUGUGGGGAUCAAAUAAGCUAAGGCAUGAAGAAUGCAUUGUUUAAUGUCUGAAACAUGAUGAGUACUCAGUAAGUAUUACCUAAUGUUAUAUUUGCCCCUAGAGCUUUCAGAGAAACUGAACACACGUCAUUUACAAAAGAACAAAAAGUAGACUGGCACCAGACUUUUCAUCAGAAAGACUGAGGCUAACAGACAGUAAGAAUUACUUUCCAAGUUUUGAGACCAGGAGAUCUAAAAUUCCAUAUCCAGCCAAAGUACAAAUAACAUAUGUCAAUGCCCACCAAUCAAAAAACCACCAGGAACUCACCAAUAGUUGAGUAAGGUUGAGUUUAUUCAUUCUUGCUGCAGGAAAGGAAGAUCUCACCACUUGGGGAAGCAUGGGCAUCUCUGUAAGCAGGUGUUAAGACAGUUUUGUUAUAGGAUUUAGUCCUGUUGCGAGUGGUGUUGUAAAAAAUGCAAAGGGGUAGGCUUUGCUUUGAUUUAGGCAUUAUCGGCAGAUCCCAUGAUUAGGUAUCUUAAUAACUGUUAUCUGGAAAUCAGGAGAAAUGAACAGGUAGGUCUAAACUUAAUUGGCAUGAAAGCAACAGUCAUUCAUAUUAGCUAAGAGUGAAGAGCCUGGACAUUUGCACGGUCGGAUCUGUGUUCUUCUUUUUGUAUGUGCUCAGACCUGAUUAUAAAGUGAUCCUGUUUUUUUUUAAUUUUUUUAUUUUAAAUUUUAUUUUAUUUUAUUUUAUUUUAUUUUAUUUUAUUUUAUUUUAUUUUUUACUUGAGUGUGAUUGACACACAAUGUUAUAUUAGGUUCAGGUGUACAAUUCAGUGAUUUGAUAAGUUUACACAUCAUGCUAUGUUCUGUCCCAUUAAAUCCUGUGUUUUCUAUUUGUUUCAUCACGGUCAUGUGUCUGAUGUUGGCGUUCUGUGAAAUUGCUUAUUUUACCAGGGAGCAUAACUAUUACCAGGCCUGCUACCAGUUGAUGGAAUUUGUUACUUCUCAGUACAAGGAAAAAUAAGGAAAUUUUCAGACAUGCAAGGAUUCAGGGCUUUCCCCAUCCGGGCCCUGCACAUGGCAGUGGCCAUGGCUAUGCAUUCCCAGUCCUCACCACCCCCAGCCUGCACACAUCUGGAAAGGAGCAGCAGCAACAGAAGACAUUAAUGAAACCUUAUACGCAAGGAGCCACUAGAACAAGGCAAAACUAUUUAUAUUUUAAAAGGCAGACUGUAUUCUAUCAUCUAUUCCCAAGAUGAAACGAAUAGAGGAUCAAUCAACCCGCAAACAGGCAAGGAAGGAGAUCGCCCUCCACUCUCCUAUCAUGUGUCUCUUUCCUCGAAGUUACUCCUGGUCAAAUGGGACAAAGGCCUUUCUGGAAUCUAUAAGAGAACACCUUGUCAUGUCUGUGUGUUAGCACAGCAUGAUGGGCCAGUCAGUGCAUCACAAAUAUUCAUCCACCGCCUAUGGUGCUUCUAGAAGAUUGCAAGCCUCUGGGGGCAGAGGAAGACCACAUGCUGCCUUCUGGGACUUUCACUCUUAACAUUGCAAACAGGCUUCAGUCAAAUAAUUAAAUAACUGGUAACAUACAAAUUGUUAUUUAAGAAAAGCACCACACACAAAUGUUGUGGUUAAUCUCUUCCAGAUAUAUGUGAAUGACCAUGGGCAAAAGCAACCGCAUAGAACAGGCAUUAAUUAAGCUCUUACUAAGGAUGCUACAUUAAAGGUCUUAGCAAAAUCCUUGGUAGAGACUAUAUGUUCUAUAAAUGACAAUGUAUAAAUAGCCCCCUGCUAUUACAUUGUGGAAUUACAUAUUUCCACACCUAAUUCCACUUCCAUUUCACUCAAAUUAGACUAGGAAUAUUAUAAAAGGCACGCCACCUUUAUAGUAUUAAUUGGUGUACCAACCCAAAAGAGUUGGUAUACAAAGCGUCCAGAGGCCUAACUAGUGGUGGGAAUCUCUCUUUUUCCUCACUACCUACCCUUUUUAAGGUCUCUGCAAGCUCAGUUCCUGGUUUAUGACAGAUGAUAUAGUAGAUAAAACAUGGGAGUUAGACUUAGCUAAACUUGGAUGUAAGCUAUGCUCAACCAGUGAUUGGGAAGAUAAACUUAACUCAUUUGUGAAAUGGAAAUAAUAAUAUUUGCUGCAUAGAAUUUCUAGAAGCCUGAUAUGAGGGUACAUACAAAAGGACCAAAGAGGACCACUGGCAGGGAGGACUGGGAUGCUUGAGCUGUUCUUUGAGGACAGACAAGAUUCAAUUCUAUAUUUAAAGGCCAUAGAUGACAAACCAGCCAUGCACUGAUACCUUGCAAGGAUAAUGGGGUAGUCUUCCCAUUUGUCCUAAGCACAGUCUGAGCACUGAUGUAAAAUAGUGAUUAAGUUUCUACCAGCAAAGUGGCUCAUAGUGGAAGACGGGGGCAGCCUGCUUUGGCGUCUGUUUAAAUACCCAAAUGGAGCCCAAGUCAAACUCAAAGACACCUCAAGAGUCAACCUACUGUCCCUGUUUCAUCAAAGCUAAAUGGCAGAUCCUGUUUCUGCCUUACUUACAGUCUCAUUCCAAACCGUCAGCUUGGGCUUUCUUUAUUAUACCCUGCAGUCUCUAAAUUGCUGUGCAGGAUUUUCUGAGAAUUCGUCCGUGUGAACAUCGUGUGCUGCUGGAUGUACGCAUGCACUUGCACAAAUAAGUAAUGGAGAGCUGGCUUGGGAAGGAGGAAUUACAUUUUUUUUUCUUCAAAUGACAUAUUUGAGCAUUAAAAACAAUGCAUUCUGUUCUCCUGCUAGCAAGGAAUAAUGAAACUAGAGCGUCGCCUUCCCAGUAGCUCCUGCCUUUGAAUCGUGCAAAGCAGAAAGGAUCCUCAGUUUAUAGGCAGCAACAGCCUCCAGAAGCUACAGGAACAUUGCCAAGAGCUCUGAAAAACCUCCACAGCUAAUUGGGAACCGGCUUAUUAGUGACACUUUUGAGAGUCAGGUUGUCAUUGAAGAGAAACGAAGGAGAACACGGUGGGCGCUGUAGCCUGGAAUUAGGCAGUGGGAGGGAGGGCUGGUUCCUUCUCCUCACAAGAACAUUGCUCUGUAAUUUUCUCAAACGCUGUGCUCAGCUGCUUGCAAAAGCCCUGAAUCUUGGGAGGCUGCAGGCAACACCUUAGCCUCCACAGUGGCUUGAAUGCUAUCCCCCACCAUCCACAUUUGGAGAGCUGGGUGGCCGUUUCAAAGAUACCCUGAAUUAGUUAACGCAACCAAGAUAAAUGCGUCCCGUCCUCUGAGUAGCAGCCUCUUGAACCUGUGUCUCCAUUUUUUUGUGUAGUUAACUCAGAAUGUUUAUUUCACAGUCACAGACAAUUCCAGUAGCAAAUAAUCCUCAGGUUUUUGUUUAAAUAAUAAAAACUCAGCAAAGAGAUAAAUAAGCUGAAGAAUUUAAUAUAUUUUUUUUAAAUAACAUGUCAAAAUACCAGUCAGGUCAUAUUUAAAGUCAGGCUCUUGAUGCACUGUAAGAAAGGAAUUGUUAUUAUUAUUUUUAGGAAGGUGAUUGCCAGUGUCAGUCCAGCUGCAGUUAAGCAGAAUGCUAUGUCCUGAGUGUUGCCUUUGAGUUUCUCAUGAGAUGUUGCACUGAUAACAAACUGCGUUUCUCUGCUCCCUUCCUCUGGAAGGAUCGUCCCUGAUCUGGAUAACAUUUUUUGAGUUCUGUGCUAAGAUUCUGGUCCUCACUACCCCCGCCCACAGAAGAUGAAGAAAAUCUGUGUCUUUGUGCAUUAGCCAUGAGAGCUGUUUGAGCUGGGUAAGCAUACACCUCUUCCAUUUGAUAUGCUCCCUGCUGGAUGAAAUGAUGGAAUCUACUUGCUGCCCUGGUGGAAGGAAGGAAGCCUAGAUCCUGGAAUUAACUCCUAGGUUCUAUACUGAGGUGGGAACAACCCCAGGAAACUUUUCCUGAUGGUACUACAAGUCCAUUUGAGCACAGAGACUGCAUCGUGAGAAAUAUAGUUGACAGGCAUCUGUUUACUGCCUUAUUCCACCAAUUGCCUUUCUCAUCUCAGCAAAUUCACUCCACUUUCCUCAUCAUAAGGAUUCAGCCUUCGUGUAUUCCGUAAUUCAACCCAACCUGUAAUACGAUAGUUCCCUGAAUCUCUCUUUAGCUCUUGCUCUUGACAUACACAGACACACCCACAUACACCACCCCAAACAAACAUGCAUUUUAGGGGCACACAAAAUCGGGCUGGUUGCCUACCCAAUAGUUGACCAUUUUCCCCUCCUUUCUUUUUCACUGGAACAGUCUGCCUCCCACAAAAGAACCUAAAAUAACAGUUAACAGCAUUCCUAGCUUUCUUGCUGCCAGAGGUGCUGAUGUGACACAAUUCUAGGGUGGCCAUGUGACAGAAUCCUAGAGUGGAAACGUGACAUGGUUGUGGGGUACACUGUGACAGUCCUGCAGUAGCAAUGUGAUGAUGUGUCACAUUUCUAGAGUGGCCACAUGACAAAGUUCUUGGGUAGCAAAGUGACACAUUUCUGGUAUAGACAUAUGACACUAUUCUGGGUUGGUCAUGUGGCAUGGUACUUGGGUAGCAACGUGACACAGGUCUCAGUUGGCUAUGGGACACAGUCCUGGGGUGGCAACGUAACACGGUUCUGGAGUAGCCAUAGAAACAUUCCUGGGAUGGCUGUGUGCCAGGUAUGGGAUGGCUAUAUCACACAGGAGAUGACCAUGUGAAACAAUUCUGGUCAACGAAGCCUGAAGGACAUCUGAGAGAGAACUUCCAGGCAAGAGUCUCCCAUAUAAAGAGGGAUAUGGAAAAAGACCUUUCUCACCACUGGAACCUCCCUUUUCCUUCUCCCUUUGGAACACAUUUACAUGAAGUUAAGCAAAUUCAACCUUUAAUAUAUUCUUCGUACUUCAUACUUUGUUUUUUUCAUAAUAAAAGUUUUCUUCAAGUCAUAUAAAGACUGCAAACUCCCUCCCAUUUUCCCAAAUAUUUUGUGCAGAUACUGUAAUUGUGUGUGUGUGUGUGUGUGUGUGUGUGUGUGUGAUAUGAUAUGAACGAGGUUAGGAAGCACACAGAGAAAGCAUUUACCAAUCAAGUGUUAGUAACGUCAAUAUCUGCCUUUCCCUGUUUUCCAGAUGCAUCAACACAAAACGAGACUUUCACGAAAGGUGAAUUUAAGUAGAAUCCUGCUUCACUCCAAACCUCUCCAUUUCAAACCUUAGAACCACGAGUGUAGCCUAAGGAAAGGAAAUAGAGAGCCCUGAGUUAAUUUGUCCUCUCACUCAUUCUCAGCCAAAAAGAGUCUCUUAUUUUUGGUCCUCACAGAAGCUGAUCCUGGGAAAAAUAAUCUCAGAGAUUUUCCCCAGGAUUCUGGCAACAGGCUGUGAGGCAGUUUUAAUUUUCAGGAAUGGUGUUGUGCAACUUUAUUAAGAAGUUAGGAGAAGCUGAGUAAGUAGACGGGGACAAAGCACCGUUUCAAAAUACAGCUCCAGCUACUACCUUUGUAAGUGCUUCUCUAAGAACUUUCACAACGUCUGACCCUUUAUCAUUCUAGCUUCUUGUAUCUCUUAAUUCUUAACAAGUUCUACUUCCCUUUCACUGAAAAGUAGAUGUGGCACAGUUGGCUGAUAGAGCUUUAUCACAUGGACACUCUUCUCAUGUACCACUUUGCUGUGAACUCAGAUAAACCAAAUCUAUAUACAAGUGAGGUGUGGACUUCCUCCCCACAAAGCAUCGGGCUUUUCAUUCCCAUGUAUUUUCUCUGCUUGUCUUUGUUUUCUUUCACUGGGAAUUAAAAUUUAAGACUAUAUCUAUACAUCAGCAUCUGACCUCAUGUAUAAAAUAUAACCACAUACAACCUAACACUCUUCUUCCAAAAUCUAAUUCUUCUCCGUAGCUAUCCUUGGAAUUGUCUGACAGCUGGUGCCAUAUUCCGUUCAGAUUAACCCUCUGUAAUGUCACCAGUUUUGUAUCCUAGGAGGAUGAAUUUUCAGCUAAGCGUUAAAUAUUUUAUCAGGUUAUGUAAAACAUAAUCCAUUGGGUUUGAAAGUGAACCAUUAUUUCAAACUAUCACCAUGAACUGUCUGUAUCUUAUUUUCAGGAGACCAGCAAGAGAAAAUAUUAUGCACAAAAAUGAUUGAAACAACAUAUGUUUUAUUCACUGUUAUGAUCUUCUCAGAGACAACUGAAAGGAUAAUCUUUUUUGUCAGAACAAAUUUCAGAACAAGAUUCUCUCCGGGGAAAGAAAAAUGAAAAAUGGAUUAUGCAGGUUUCUGUGUCCCUCUAUGAAAUUAUUUGACCUCUGCAGGAAGAAAUGUAAUUCAUUAUAUAAGAAGAAUUUAUUGAGUAGCUACUGUUUUCAAGCCUCUUUACUAUAUCCUAGUCUAAAAAAAAAAGAAAGAAAAGAAAAAGAAGAAGAUAGGUUUCUAGCCUUUAAUAAAUAUAUACGCUUGUUCAAACACCAAUACAAAGGAAUCACCUGACUAUAAAAGCUAUGAAGGAAACAUUACUUUUCCAUCCACCAGGGUUCUUGAUCCUCUGCCCAGCCAUUCCUUCCUCCACUAAGCCUAAUAACACCCUUUACCAAAAAAUGUGAUAUAAUGUCCCUGUAUGUCAGUACAGAGCAUCUGGAUAACCUCAACCCCUCCUGAUGUUUGGACAAAUAUAGAGAGGUUCAAUUUUCAGAAAACAUUCAUGGCUUCUGAAAUUUCAUCCAACUUUUUUGUGAGCACUUAGUCUUUACCAGGUAUUUCUCUAGGAAAUUUCACUUCCAUUGUCAUAUUUGCUUGC
Prionailurus viverrinus (fishing cat) is the source of this 15829-nucleotide long non-coding RNA. RefSeq lists it as uncharacterized. The transcript is spliced from 6 exons. NCBI's taxonomy places the organism in Eukaryota, Metazoa, Chordata, Mammalia, Carnivora, Felidae. The record is from RefSeq and is a predicted model, not a curated record.